GUAGUUGUGGCCGAGUGGUUAUGAUGAUGGAUUAGGAAUCCAUUGGGGUCUCCCUGCACAGGUUCAAAUCCUGCCAACUACA
This is a non-coding RNA of Gopherus flavomarginatus (Mexican gopher tortoise), 82 nucleotides long. The record is from the annotation of a RefSeq genome assembly. NCBI's taxonomy places the organism in Eukaryota, Metazoa, Chordata, Testudines, Testudinidae.